GAUGAACGCUGGCGGCGUGCCUAAUACAUGCAAGUCGAGCGAACGGACGAGAAGCUUGCUUCUCUGAUGUUAGCGGCGGACGGGUGAGUAGCACGUGGAUAACCUACCUAUAAGACUGGGAUAACUUCGGGAAACCGGAGCUAAUACCGGAUAAUAUUUUUAACCGCAUGGUUCAAAAGUGAAAGACGGUCUUGCUGUCACUUAUAGAUGGAUCCGCGCUGCAUUAGCUAGUUGGUAAGGUAACGGCUUACCAAGGCAACGAUGCAUAGCCGACCUGAGAGGGUGAUCGGCCACACUGGAACUGAGACACGGUCCAGACUCCUACGGGAGGCAGCAGUAGGGAAUCUUCCGCAAUGGGCGAAAGCCUGACGGAGCAACGCCGCGUGAGUGAUGAAGGUCUUCGGAUCGUAAAACUCUGUUAUUAGGGAAGAACAUAUGUGUAAGUAACUGUGCACAUCUUGACGGUACCUAAUCAGAAAGCCACGGCUAACUACGUG
Molecule: ribosomal RNA, 497 nt
Filed under: uncultured bacterium
Lineage: Bacteria
Description: partial 16S ribosomal RNA
Rfam family: Bacterial small subunit ribosomal RNA
Source: RNAcentral